RNAcentral lists this long non-coding RNA (208 nucleotides) under Mytilus galloprovincialis (Mediterranean mussel). The record is from RNAcentral. Lineage: Eukaryota; Metazoa; Mollusca; Bivalvia; Mytilida; Mytilidae.
CCCCGGCCUGAGUUUAUAUAUAGCAACAUGCAUUAUUCCUUUUUUUCGGCAGCCAUCAACAUCUUUUUCCAAAUUUCACCACACGAUUUGUUUUUAUUAUCAUGAAUAUUUAAUUGAAACUUUAGCACAUGUAACGUCGGAAAUUCGCGUUUUUCGGAUUUUUCGACGUUUUCAGACGUUUGAACAAAUUGGAUACCGUUUUGUAAUG